This 253-nucleotide ribosomal RNA is filed under the name uncultured bacterium. RNAcentral describes it as "partial 16S ribosomal RNA". It matches the Rfam family "Bacterial small subunit ribosomal RNA", at positions 524 to 776 of the family's 1533-position model. The record is from RNAcentral.
GACAGAGGGUGCAAACGUUGCUCGGAAUCACUGGGCGUAAAGGGCGUGUAGGCGGGAAGGAAAGUCAGAUGUGAAAUCCCCAGGCUCAACCUGGGAACUGCAUUUGAAACUCCCUUUCUUGAGUACCGGAGAGGAAAGUGGAAUUCCUGGUGUAGAGGUGAAAUUCGUAGAUAUCAGGAGGAACACCAGCGGCGAAGGCGGCGCUCUGGGCCGGAACUGACGCUGAGGAGCGAAAGCGUGGGGAGCGAACAGG